RNAcentral lists this ribosomal RNA (807 nucleotides) under Triticum aestivum (bread wheat). RNAcentral's name for it is "partial small subunit ribosomal RNA". Lineage: Eukaryota; Viridiplantae; Streptophyta; Magnoliopsida; Poales; Poaceae. The record is from RNAcentral.
AUGAACAAACCAAUAACACCCAUCCAAAAUCCACAAAACUGUCCAAAGCCCUAUAACUAUGAUGAUCGAACGAAGUGGGGACACAGCUACUAUACCGUUGAGAUGAGGUUCCACCGCAAAUGUCAACAUCAAUAUCGUGGAUUGAGGAUCCAGAUCAUCUCUAGGGACUAUGAUGGUUAUAUGCUCAACAAGGAGUUCCCCAUCCCUUUCUUUAUUCAAGAAGGCGCGAUAAAGCUACCAUUCCGAGAAGACUAUGUCAUUAAGCCUCUUAUUGGUGGAGCUAAAACAUUUAUGAAUAUCUUUGAUCAAUUUGCACAUUACCCGGAAGCGAGAAACACGACGGAAAUAACAGCAGCGUUUCUGUCCGCUGUGGUGGUUCUGUCUGAGGCAAGGCGCAUCAUUUGGGUAUUUAGGGAAGUGAAGAAUCGGAUCCGAAGAAAUGAAGCACCAUCAGAUCUUGACUGUAAGGUCCCUGGAAAGGAACUCCCCACUGGAUUGGCAUGGACCUCAAUUGGAGACUGGACCAUGGACAGUAAACAGGUUUUAGGUUCUGCGUUCAAGGGAGAAUAUACGCCACGUACCGGUCAAAAAUUCGCGGAAACUGUGGUACCUGUCAAGACGUUUGGGCAACUUAUCUCACAAGAUGAAGAAUCUGGACACCUAAGCCUACUGAUGCGCGUGGAGAAUAUAGCAGCUCCGGAGGGUGGGUGGGUGCUCACAAGGUUGAAGAUGAAGGUGAAUAAUCCUGGACUUCGAGUCGUUGACCCAGGAUUCCCUGACGAUCCAGAAUUAUCUGAUGAUGAGUGA